GCGCCCCCAGGUCAGGCGGGC
This 21-nucleotide ribosomal RNA is filed under the name Salacca glabrescens. Its description in RNAcentral is "partial 26S ribosomal RNA". The record is from RNAcentral. Lineage: Eukaryota; Viridiplantae; Streptophyta; Magnoliopsida; Arecales; Arecaceae.